RNAcentral lists this ribosomal RNA (466 nucleotides) under uncultured bacterium. Its description in RNAcentral is "partial 16S ribosomal RNA". It matches the Rfam family "Bacterial small subunit ribosomal RNA", at positions 28 to 507 of the family's 1533-position model. The record is from RNAcentral.
GAUGAACGCUGGCGGCGUGCUUAACACAUGCAAGUCGAACGAUGAAGCCCAGCUUGCUGGGUGGAUUAGUGGCGAACGGGUGAGUAACACGUGAGUAACCUGCCCUUAACUCUGGGAUAAGCCUGGGAAACUGGGUCUAAUACCGGAUAGGAGCGUCCACCGCAUGGUGGGUGUUGGAAAGAUUUAUCGGUUUUGGAUGGACUCGCGGCCUAUCAGCUCGUUGGUGAGGUAAUGGCUCACCAAGGCGACGACGGGUAGCCGGCCUGAGAGGGUGACCGGCCACACUGGGACUGAGACACGGCCCAGACUCCUACGGGAGGCAGCAGUGGGGAAUAUUGCACAAUGGGCGCAAGCCUGAUGCAGCGACGCCGCGUGAGGGAUGACGGCCUUCGGGUUGUAAACCUCUUUCAGUAGGGAAGAAGCGAAAGUGACGGUACCUGCAGAAGAAGCACCGGCUAACUACGUG